CGGGUGCACUGAUCCAGCCGGGCCUUUCCCUCUGUGGAACCCCAUGGCCUUCACUGGCUGUGGUGGGGAAACAGGACUUUUACUUUGAAAAAAUUAGAGUGCUCCAGGCAGGCCUAUGCUCGAAUACAUUAGCAUGGAAUAAUAGAAUAGGACGUGUGGUUCUAUUUUGUUGGUUUCUAGGACCGCCGUAAUGAUUAAUAGGGACAGUCGGGGGCAUCAGUAUUCAAUUGUCAGAGGUGAAAUUCUUGGAUCUAUUGAAGACUAACUACUGCGAAAGCAUUUGCCAAGGAUGUUUUCAUUGAUAAGGAACGAAAGUUAGGGGAUCGAAGACGAUCAGAUACCGUCGUAGUCUUAACUAUAAACUAUGCCGACUAGGGAUCGGACGAUGUUAUUCUUUGACGCGUUCGGCACCUUUCGAGAAAUCAAAGUGCUUGGGCUCCAGGGGGGAGUAUGGUCGCAAGGCUGAAACUUAAAGAAAUUGACGGAAGGGCACCACCAGGGGUGGAACCUGCGGCUUUAAUUUGACUCAACACGGGGAAACUCACCAGGUCCAGACACAGUGAGGAUUGACAGAUUGAGAGCUCUUUCUUGAUUCUGUGGGUGGUGGUGCAUGGCCGUUCUUAGUUGGUGGAGUGAUUUGUCUGCUUAAUUGCGAUAACGAACGAGACCUUAACCUGCUAAAUAGCCCGUACUGCUUUGGCAGUUCGCCGGCUUCUUAGAGGGACUAUCGG
Molecule: ribosomal RNA, 731 nt
Filed under: uncultured eukaryote
Lineage: Eukaryota
Description: SSU rRNA
Rfam family: Eukaryotic small subunit ribosomal RNA
Source: RNAcentral